CCUACGGGGGGCAGCAGUGGGGAAUAUUGGACAAUGGGGGGAACCCUGAUCCAGCCAUGCCGCGUGUGUGAAGAAGGCCCUCGGGUUGUAAAGCACUUUCAGUGAGGAAGAACGCCUGGUGGUUAAUACCCAUCAGGAAAGACAUCACUCACAGAAGAAGCACCGGCUAACUCCGUGCCAGCAGCCGCGGUAAUACGGAGGGUGCGAGCGUUAAUCGGAAUUACUGGGCGUAAAGCGCGCGUAGGUGGCUUGAUAAGCCGGUUGUGAAAGCCCCGGGCUCAACCUGGGAACGGCAUCCGGAACUGUCAAGCUAGAGUGCAGGAGAGGAAGGUAGUAUUCCCGGUGUAGCGGUGAAAUGCGUAGAGAUCGGGAGGAAUACCAGUGGCGAAGGCGGCCUUCUGGACUGACACUGACACUGAGGUGCGAAAGCGUGGGUAGCAAACAGGAUUAGAUACCCGGGUAGUA
Molecule: ribosomal RNA, 465 nt
Filed under: Vreelandella stevensii
Lineage: Bacteria; Pseudomonadati; Pseudomonadota; Gammaproteobacteria; Oceanospirillales; Halomonadaceae
Description: partial 16S ribosomal RNA
Rfam family: Bacterial small subunit ribosomal RNA
Source: RNAcentral